This 253-nucleotide ribosomal RNA is filed under the name uncultured bacterium. RNAcentral's name for it is "partial 16S ribosomal RNA". It matches the Rfam family "Bacterial small subunit ribosomal RNA", at positions 524 to 776 of the family's 1533-position model. The record is from RNAcentral.
CACGUAGGGCGCAAGCGUUGUCCGGAAUUAUUGGGCGUAAAGAGCUCGUAGGCGGUCUGUUGCGUCCGCUGUGAAAACUCGGGGCUUAACCCCGAGCCUGCAGUGGAUACGGGCAGACUAGAGGUAGGUAGGGGAGAAUGGAAUUCCCGGUGUAGCGGUGAAAUGCGUAGAUAUCAGGAGGAACACCGGUGGCGAAGGCGGGUCUCUGGGCCGAUACUGACGCUGAGGAGCGAAAGCGUGGGGAGCGAACAGG